GACGAACGCUGGCGGCGUGCUUAACACAUGCGAGUCGAACGGAAAGGCCCUGCUUUUGUGGGGUGCUCGAGUGGCGAACGGGUGAGUAACACGUGAGUAACCUGCCCUUGACUUUGGGAUAACUUCAGGAAACUGGGGCUAAUACCGGAUAGGAGCUCCUGCUGCAUGGUGGGGGUUGGAAAGUUUCGGCGGUUGGGGAUGGACUCGCGGCUUAUCAGCUUGUUGGUGGGGUAGUGGCUUACCAAGGCUUUGACGGGUAGCCGGCCUGAGAGGGUGACCGGCCACAUUGGGACUGAGAUACGGCCCAGACUCCUACGGGAGGCAGCAGUGGGGAAUAUUGCACAAUGGGCGGAAGCCUGAUGCAGCAACGCCGCGUGCGGGAUGACGGCCUUCGGGUUGUAAACCGCUUUCGCCUGUGACGCAGCGUGAGUGACGGUAAUGGGUAAAGAAGCACCGGCUAACUACGUG
Molecule: ribosomal RNA, 468 nt
Filed under: uncultured bacterium
Lineage: Bacteria
Description: partial 16S ribosomal RNA
Rfam family: Bacterial small subunit ribosomal RNA
Source: RNAcentral